UUGAGAUACAUUCCAUUAUCCAUUUGGGGAAGGUGCUUGGGAAGCCAAUCUGUUCCAUAACUUGCUGUAGAAAUACCCAUUCCACUGAAUCAUACGCUUUCUGGAGGUCUAUUUUUAUCAUGCAUCUGGGGGACACAUGUUGUCUAGUAUAGCUUUUGACAAGUUCAUGUGCUAGGAUGAUGUUGUCCUGGAUCUUUCUACCUGGGAUGAAUCCUGCCUGACCUUAUGCAGCCUAUUAGCAAGUACUUUUGAGAUGAGUUUGUAGAGCACUGAACAACAAGCAAUAGGCA
RNAcentral lists this long non-coding RNA (290 nucleotides) under Nicotiana benthamiana. RNAcentral's name for it is "long non-coding RNA (NBEN_LNC024074)". Lineage: Eukaryota; Viridiplantae; Streptophyta; Magnoliopsida; Solanales; Solanaceae. The record is from RNAcentral.